Molecule: transfer RNA, 84 nt
Filed under: Methanocalculaceae archaeon
Lineage: Archaea; Methanobacteriati; Methanobacteriota; Methanomicrobia; Methanomicrobiales; Methanocalculaceae
Description: tRNA-Leu
Rfam family: tRNA
About the family: Transfer RNA (tRNA) molecules are approximately 80 nucleotides in length. Their secondary structure includes four short double-helical elements and three loops (D, anti-codon, and T loops).
Source: RNAcentral
GCGAGGGUUGCCAAGCCUGGUCAACGGCGCAGGGCUUAGGACCCUGUCUCAAGGAGUCCAUGGGUUCGAAUCCCAUCCCUCGCA